This 375-nucleotide ribosomal RNA is filed under the name uncultured bacterium. Its description in RNAcentral is "bacterial SSU rRNA". It matches the Rfam family "Bacterial small subunit ribosomal RNA", at positions 28 to 409 of the family's 1533-position model. The record is from RNAcentral.
GACGAACGCUGGCGGCGUGCUUAACACAUGCAAGUCGAGCGGAAAGGCCCUUCGGGGUACUCGAGCGGCGAACGGGUGAGUAACACGUGAGAAACCUGCCCUGGACUUUGGGAUAACCCUCGGAAACGGGGGCUAAUACCGGAUAUGACAUUCGACCGCAUGGUUGUUUGUGGAAAGUUUUUCGGUCUGGGAUGGUCUCGCGGCCUAUCAGCUUGUUGGUGGGGUAAUGGCCUACCAAGGCGACGACGGGAGCCGGCCUGAGAGGGCGACCGGCCACACUGGGACUGAGACACGGCCCAGACUCCUACGGGAGGCAGCAGUGGGGAAUAUUGCACAAUGGGCGGAAGCCUGAUGCAGCGACGCCGCGUGAGGGAU